RNAcentral lists this ribosomal RNA (439 nucleotides) under uncultured bacterium. RNAcentral describes it as "bacterial SSU rRNA". It matches the Rfam family "Bacterial small subunit ribosomal RNA", at positions 355 to 796 of the family's 1533-position model. The record is from RNAcentral.
UCGAGAAUCUUCCGCAAUGGGCGCAAGCCUGACGGAGCGACGUCGCGUGAUUGAUGAAGUCCUUCGGGACGUAAAGAUCUUUUAUCGGGGAGAAAAUCUGCGCAAGCAGAUGUGAUAGUACUCGAUGAAUAAGGGGUUGCUAAACUCGUGCCAGCAGCAGCGGUAAUACGAGUGCCCCAAGCGUUAUCCGGAAUUACUGGGCGUAAAGGGUGUGUAGGCGGUCGGGUUAGUCGGUUGUUAAAGCUCCUGGCUUAACUGGGAAAAGGCAACCGAAACGGCACGACUAGAGGAGGCGAGGGGUCUAUGGAACUCAUGGUGUAGGGGUGAAAUCCGUUGAUAUCAUGGGGAACACCAAAAGCGAAGGCAGUAGACUGGCGCCUAACUGACGCUGAAACACGAAAGCGUGGGGAUCAAACGGGAUUAGAUACCCGCGUAGUCC